Molecule: ribosomal RNA, 465 nt
Filed under: Vreelandella stevensii
Lineage: Bacteria; Pseudomonadati; Pseudomonadota; Gammaproteobacteria; Oceanospirillales; Halomonadaceae
Description: partial 16S ribosomal RNA
Rfam family: Bacterial small subunit ribosomal RNA
Source: RNAcentral
CCUACGGGAGGCUGCAGUGGGGAAUAUUGGACAAUGGGGGCAACCCUUAUCCAGCCAUGCCGCGUGUGUGAAGAAGGCCCUCGGGUUGUAAAGCACUUUCAGUGAGGAAGAACGCCUGGUGGUUAAUACCCAUCAGGAAAGACAUCACUCACAGAAGAAGCACCGGCUAACUCCGUACCAGCAGCCGCGGUAAUACGGAGGGUGCGAGCGUUAAUCGGAAUUACUGGGCGUAAAGCGCGCGUAGGUGGCUUGAUAAGCCGGUUGUGAAAGCCCCGGGCUCAACCUGGGAACGGCAUCCGGAACUGUCAAGCUAGAGUGCAGGAGAGGAAGGUAGAAUUCCCGGUGUAGCGGUGAAAUGCGUAGAGAUCGGGAGGAAUACCAGUGGCGAAGGCGGCCUUCUGGACUGACACUGACACUGAGGUGCGAAAGCGUGGGUAGCAAAGAGGAUUAGAUACCCCUGUAGUC